Tympanuchus pallidicinctus (lesser prairie-chicken) is the source of this 5189-nucleotide long non-coding RNA. RefSeq lists it as uncharacterized. Lineage: Eukaryota; Metazoa; Chordata; Aves; Galliformes; Phasianidae. The record is from RefSeq and is a predicted model, not a curated record. The transcript is spliced from 10 exons.
CGUCCCCGUGCCUGCCUGCGGUAGCCUGCAGCUCUUCAUACUGCCAGGGAGAGGAGCAGAGGUCAGGGCAGAAUCCAGCAUUGUAGAGUGAAGAAGCAUGAGAAGAUUUUCCUGGAAGAGUCAGCCCUUCUCUAUUCAAGACAAGACAUGAAGACAGAAGCACGGAAAGCCCCAUCUCCUUCACCUUGGUUUGGUACCAGGACUCGGCUUCAGCCCGGCUGCGGUUGGCGAUGUCCUCGUACUGUGCCUUCACCUCUGCAAUGAUGCUGUCCAGGUCCAGGUUGCGAUUGUUGUCCAUGGUCAGCACCACGGAGGUGUCGGAGAUCUGGGUCUGCAUCUGGGACAGCUCCUGCAAUGGGAACGGGGGUGGAGGUGAUGCGGUUGUCACUCAUCUGGAAGGAAUUUGAGAGGUAAUUACAAAAGGCAGAACUGGGAGCACCAGGAGCUGCAGCUACAGGUCUGGGGUAUGGGUGAUGGCAGAGGGUCCCCACCCUGCCCUGUUGAUGAAACAUUGGGUUUCCAGGUAGCUCCCGGGGGAGUGUCUCCCCUGUGCCCUGCAGCUCCAGGCAUGUGGAUGAAAUUGCUGCUCUAAUGCAGAUAGCUCACCCUGAUACGGACUUCUCCUCUGGCAGAGUGUAAAAAGCAGAGUGGUGCUCUGCUUUUUCCUCCUGAUCAGAUCACAGAGCUGUGCUGGGGCUGAGAGCCCCGUAAUGCAGCUCUGGAGCCUUUUCCACCCCUCUCCCUCCUUUCCUCCUCCAGGGAUAGGUGGGAGAUCCCUGAGGUGCAGCCUGGUAUCACGCUAACAUUGAGGUAAUACACUCCUUUGAGGGUAGAAAAAUGAAUUCUGGCUGCAUCAGGGCAGUAGCUACAACUCAGGUCCUUGUAGUGGGAAAUUUGAGCUGUUUCCCAACCAGAGAGAAAGAUGGCAGCUUCAACAACUUGCCCCCAACACCUGCCCAGCAUCCACCGUGAGAUGAUUCCACGGAUGCAUUUGCCAUGGGAGCCUUCGUUUCACGAUGGAUGUCUGUUCUCAGACAAGGUUGGAACCUUUUAGCAGUGGCUUAAUGUGAUUUCUUUGCAAAAAUAGACAUUUAUAAAAUAAGAGCAUGUCCUACUGACUCGUGUUGGUUCACUAACUAAUCUCAGUUUAAUUAUCAGUAAAGUCAAGGCUAUAAUUUACGUUAAUUGCUUAAAUUAAAGCCUUUGGGUUAAACUUGGGCUGCUAACCUAAAUUCAAACCCUGCUCGUUUUGGCUGUAAUUUACCGUAUCAUCCCAACCUAACGCAGUCCCAAUCAUCACCCUGAGCUUUCUCCACGCUGCACCCCAUGGUCGCUGCAUGGCAUGGCAGAGACCUCCAGGAGCGGAGAGGGAGCUGGGAUUCACCUCCCUGAAUCUCAUUUCCCCAAGGAAUGAAUUGGGAUGAGCUGCUCCUGAGCGUUCCCAUAGGUGUUGCCCCAUGCUGGGCGUUGCAGUCCUUUGAGCCUGUUCCCAGCAGUAUCUGGAGGCCAGUCAGCUGGAAGUAGUGCAGGACUUUGAAGUGUAGGUGUGACCAGCUUUCUCCAGAUAAUUGGUUUUUGUGUUAGUACAGAGACACCAGUGCAGCUCAGGGUUUUGGAGUAACUUUGCUUUUAUUUUUGCUGUUGUUGCAGAUUGAGGAGGUCUCCUUUCAGCCCGUGGCUUGUUGCAUCCCAAAAGAGCCUCUGACCUUGGUGCUCCAGAUUCUCGCAGUGGGGUCCUGGUCUCCCCCCAGUACCCCGAGAGAGGCUGGCGAAGGACGGAGGAAGGAGAGGGCGCAGCGCAGCUAUGUACAGCACUGAUUGUGGUCUUGGAAACGAUCCGCACGCUGCCUCCCGUGCUGGAGCUGACCCCUCGGCUGCUGCUGGAGCUGAAGUUGCUGCCUCCACCAUAGCUGUAGCUUCCACUCCCGCCCCCGAAUCCUCCACCGCCGCCACUGCUGCUCAUGGUGUAGCUGCCACCACCUCCCAUGCUGAGACCACUGCUCAUGCCGAGACCACUGCUCAUGCCGAGACCACUGCUCAUGCCGAGACCUCCACCCAUGCCGAGACCACUGCCCAUUCCAAGACCUCCUCCCAUGCCGCUGCCGUAGCCCAUCCCGCUGGAGCUGCUCACUACAGCUGUGAGAGAACAGGGAUGAGUGAGACCACCUCAGCGUCUUGCAGAUCCCCAGGGUGGGGGGACAAACCCCAGCAAACAAGGCUGGGAAAGGGGGAGAUACUUACAGACACUCACGGCUCCAACGCCCUCUCCGGCGAGCCUGGUGGAAAAGAGGAAAGGAGGAGGUAACACAGGCAAGAUGCAGUGGUACCUGGGAGGGUCUCACUGCAGGAGCAUUCAGUUGGGGAACUAUCCAAUGGGGGGACCAUCUGAAUGGGAGACUAUCCAACUGAGGGGCCAUCCAAUUGCAGGGCCUUCAAACUGGAAGACCAUCUAAUUAGGAGAACAUGCAAUUGGGGAAUCAUUCAUCUAGGAGACCACUCAGUUGGAGGACCAUCUAAAUGGGGAGUCGUCUAGUUUGGGGACGAUUUCUGUCUGGAGGCCUGUCUAAUUAGACUUUCCUGUCCUUCAAUAGGGUCCUUCCACUGCUGGGCUAUCUCUGCAUCACAUGUGGAAGUGGCAAUUCUCAUUUUUCUUAGUGCAACAAAUGCCAACAACUGAAGGAACCCAACUUUUCCUAGAAACCUCACAUUUCAAAACACCCAUCUCCUCCCUCUUUUUUUAUGUUCCUUUAUGCUCCAGAUCCUUGGGGUGAGCUGAGGCUUUGGGCCCAAAGAGAGAUGCAGCAUGCAGGGAAAAGUGAAAUUUGCUGAUAUGUCUGCAGGGAUUCUUCACUCACCUGCUCUCCUCGCCCUCCAGUAGCUUCCUGUAGGUUGCAAUCUCAAUGUCCAGGGCCAGCUUGACAUUCAUCAGCUCCUGGUACUCACGCAGCUGCCGGGCCAGGUCUGCCUUGGCUUUCUGCAGGGCAUCCUCCAGCUCGGCCAGUUUGGAUUUGGCAUCUUUCAGGGCCAUCUCCCCACGCUCCUCUGCCUCAGCGAUGGCUGCUUGGAGACUGGCACACUAAAACAGAGGGAAGCAGAUAGCUGUUUAAGUUGGGCUACCCAAAUCUGCAGUCCUGUGGUACUGUUGGUGCUACCGGGGGGCUCCAGCAUAGCACUGGGAUUUGUGGAGCUAUCAGACAGGUGUCAGAGGGUGGGUGACUGAAGAGCCACAGUCCUGUUCCACGUGAAAAUGAGCAGAAUCUGCAUCUCUUUGUUUUGCUGGCAUGAUGCAAUAGCUCACAGCUUGCUUCCCCAGCAAGAAAACAGCAAUCACAGCACAUCCUCACAUCAGGGGACAUUCUCCAGUAGGGAAAAGAGAUGGCCAUGCCUGCCAAUACAGGACAUGGGCUUCCAUCCCUGCCCAAAGCUAGGAGCAUCCCCCCUACCUGUUUCUUCACACUCUCAAUCUCGUUGCGCAGCCGCUGCACCAUCCGGUUGAUCUCUGAGAUCUCCAUCUUGGUGUUUCUGAGGUCAUCGCCGUGGCGCCCAGCUGAGACCUGCAGCUCUUCAUACUGGUCAUCAUCCUGGAGGUGUUCAAGAAACGUGGAGAUGUGGCACUCGGGUACAAGGUUAGGGGGCAUGUUUUCUAUCUUAUGGCUGCACUGUGAUUUCUAACAGGCAGCGAUGCUUCCUCCUUCACUGCCGUGCAGAACUGAGUGUAGAGCCAAGGGACGUCGUGCAGAGAACUGACUGCUCACCGCUUCGUACAGAGCCCUCAGGAAGUUGAUCUCAUCUGCCAGCCCAUCUGCUUUGGCCUGCAGUUCCACCUUGUUCAUGUGAUAUUUUGGGAAGCCCAAGAGUUCAGAUCAUGGCUCCAUGACAGUGCAUGAGCGUGUCCUGUGCUAAAUGCCAAACCUGUGUGCAAGAAACCCAACGUGAAUAGAGAGCGCAAUCUCUUACUUGUUCUUGAAGUCCUCCACCAUGUCUUGCAUGCUCCGCAGCUCCGAGUCCAGCCGUCCCCUCUCCCCCAUCAGGCUGUCCAGCUGCCGCCUCAGGUUGUUGAUGUAGGACUCGAAGAGGGGCUCCAGGGACUUCCUGGUGACCGUGUGGCCCUGCUCUUGCAGGAGGCUCCAUUUGGUCUCCAGCACUUUGUUCUGCUGCUCCAGGAAACGCACCUAGGGAAACAAAAAAUGACUGUAACCCACCAGAAAGAGAAGAGGGAGAGCAUGGAAUGAGGAUCUUCCCACAGGAAUUCAGGGCACUGAAUUCUCCAAAGAAGCAUAAACAGCUUAGGGAGAAUUUUCAAGAGUUAUCAAGCUGCCAAGCAUCCGCGUUUGCAAUUCUACGUGUUUCUCUCUGCGCUGGAUGCUCAGCCCUCCUUAAUGGUUUAAACUGGUGGUAUCUUGUGGAGGAACUUUGCCCCUUCACAAUCCAUGGAGGAUCCACGCAGUGCCUGGGCAGUUUUUUAGGCAAAGGGGGAUUUGCUAUGUCAGCAAAACGAGGCUCUGGAGAUCUUGUCCUUGCAAAGAGCAUAGGACAAUUCUUAACAUUCAGCCAAGCACGGAUUAGUUCAGGCAAGCCCUGAAUCCAAAGAAAGAGCUUCCUGCUGUUCUUUCCUGAGGCAAAAGGGAAUGUGCCCAGGCUGAGACACAGCUCUCACCUUGUCGAUGAAGGAGGCGAAUUUGUUGUUGAGGGUCUUGAUCUGCUCCCGCUCAUGUGUCCGCACCUUCUGGAUCUCAGGGUCAAUGUCCAGCUUGAGGGGUGCCAGCAGGCUCUGGUUGACAGUCACUUCGUGGAUGCCACCGGGUGGGCAAACGGGGAACCCGGGGCCGCCACGACCACCAAAUCCAGUACCUCCCAUCCCAAAUCCUCCCAGCCCAUAGCCACCACCACCACCAGCUCCUCCUAAGCCCAAAGCAGCGCCUGCUCCUCCACCAUAGCCCAGACCAAAGCCAGAUCCUCCACCAAAGCCGUAUCCAGCUCCACUCCGCAGCCCUCCGCCAAGGGAGAUUCUCUUGCUUCCACCCAGGUUAUAGAGACUUCUGCUGCCAAAGCCGCCACCGGCUCCGAAGCCUCCUCCGCCUCCAGCUCUUCCUCCUCCAACUCUGGAGACAGAGACGGAGCUGAAGCUGCUCCGCGUACCACUGCCACCUCCCACGAUAGCAGAACCUGAGCUAAAGCCCCUCAUGCCC